GGAGAAACUAAUUCUGCCUGGAAGGAGGUUUCUUUGAAGACCGGACACCCCUAAGACACCAAACAGACCUACUAAGAAGAUGGAGCAUAAUCAUUUUCUUCACUUGAUGUACAAAGUUAGAGCUAAAGAAGCCAGCAACCUGGAUACACCAAUGUGUACAGACAAAAGAGCCCCAACAAAAGCUUGCUCCCUCUAGUCAGAGAAGUAUGAAGACCUCAAGGUAGGAGAACUUGUUUCUAGUCCUGGCUCCGUCAUUAACAAAUUGCAACUUGGUAGACACUCUCUCAGCUCUUCAUUAUCAGCCAAUAGCUAAGUCCAGCAUUAUGAUUCCAAGUUGGAUGAAGAAAGAAGUUGUGUUUAAAGCAGUUUACUUUUCAUUGCUUAAAAUAGAAAUAAUUGCACACUGGAGAAUAUUUGAAA
Molecule: long non-coding RNA, 420 nt
Organism: Eptesicus fuscus (big brown bat)
Lineage: Eukaryota; Metazoa; Chordata; Mammalia; Chiroptera; Vespertilionidae
Exons: 3
Source: RefSeq, a predicted model, not a curated record